UACGUAGGGUCCGAGCGUUGUCCGGAAUUAUUGGGCGUAAAGGGCUCGUAGGCGGUUUGUCGCGUCGGGAGUGAAAACACGGGGCUUAACCCCGUGCCUGCUUCCGAUACGGGCAGACUAGAGGUAUGCAGGGGAGAACGGAAUUCCUGGUGUAGCGGUGAAAUGCGCAGAUAUCAGGAGGAACACCGGUGGCGAAGGUGGUUCUCUGGGCAUUACCUGACGCUGAGGAGCGAAAGCGUGGGGAGCGAACAGG
This 253-nucleotide ribosomal RNA is filed under the name uncultured bacterium. Its description in RNAcentral is "partial 16S ribosomal RNA". It matches the Rfam family "Bacterial small subunit ribosomal RNA", at positions 524 to 776 of the family's 1533-position model. The record is from RNAcentral.